GCUAUGUUGAGGGCGCGGCGAACGGCUCCGUAACACGUAGUUAACCUACCCUCGGGACGGGGAUAACCCCGGGAAACUGGGAUUAAUACCCGCUAGAUGAUUCUGCCUGGAAUGGCUUAUCAUCGAAAGGUGCUGGGAACAUGCUUCCAGCGUCGCCCGAGGAUGGGACUGCGUCCGAUCAGGUUGUUGGCGGGGUAACGGCCCACCAAGCCUAUAACCGGUACGGGCCCUGAGAGGGGGAGCCCGGAGAUGGAAACUGAGACAAGGUUCCAGGCCCUACGGGGUGCAGCAGGCGCGAAAUCUCCACAAUGCGCGACAGCGUGAUGGGGUUAUCCCGAGUGCCGUCCGAUGAGGAUGGCUUUUCAUCGGUGUAAGCACCCGAUGGAAUAAAGGGGGGGCAAGACUGGUGUCAGCCGCCGCGGUAAUACCAGCCCCCUGAGUGGUAAGGACGAUUAUUUGGCCUAAAGCGUCCGUAGCCGGCUUAACAAGUCUUUUGUUAAAUCCAACGAUUCAAUCGUUGGGCCGCAAAAGAUACUGUUAUGCUAGAGGACGGGAAAGGUCGACGGUAGUCCAAGGGUAGGGGUGAAAUCCUAUAAUCCUUGGAGGACCACCAGUGGCGAAGGCGGUCGACUAGAACGUGCCUGACGGUGAGGGACGAAAGCUGGGGGAGCGAACCGGAUUAGAUACCCGGGUAGUCCCAGCUGUAAACGC
This 711-nucleotide ribosomal RNA is filed under the name uncultured marine archaeon. RNAcentral describes it as "bacterial SSU rRNA". It matches the Rfam family "Archaeal small subunit ribosomal RNA", at positions 64 to 760 of the family's 1478-position model. The record is from RNAcentral.